RNAcentral lists this long non-coding RNA (267 nucleotides) under Olea europaea subsp. europaea. Lineage: Eukaryota; Viridiplantae; Streptophyta; Magnoliopsida; Lamiales; Oleaceae. The record is from RNAcentral.
ACCAAUCAGAAUUUCAAACUAAUUUAUGGGAUCAGAAUUCUAAACUAACUUAUGUGAUGUGCACAGAAAUUUAGAGUUCAAAUCUUAGCAAAAUUCCACUUCCCACGUGAUUACCCUACACCAUGGUUUAGUAUAAAUAUAGCACUAAACCUCAAGCAUUCAGUCAUUAAUUCAUCAUUCUUCUUCUGCACGUCUUUAUUCUCUUCUCCUCUUUAAAAUAUUUCUCCAUAUUAUUAAGCCUUUUUAAGGCCUUGGAAUCGCAAUAAA